GUGAGGAACACGUGAGUAAUCUACCCUCAAGUUGGGAAUAACCCUGGGAAACUAGGGCUAAUACCGAAUGUGUCCCGGCCUCCGCAUGGAGGCUUGGAUAAAGAUUUAUUGCUUGAGGCUGAGCUCGCGUCCCAUCAGCUUGUUGGCGGGGUAACGGCCCACCAAGGCUAUGACGGGUAGCUGGUCUGAGAGGAUGGUCAGCCACACUGGGACUGAGACACUGCCCAGACUCCUACGGGAGGCUGCAGUCGAGAAUCUUCCGCAAUGGGCGAAAGCCUGACGGAGCGACGCCGCGUGAGGGAUGAAGGUCUUCGGAUUGUAAACCUCUGUCACGAGGGAAGAAUAAAUGACAGUACCUCGGGAGGAAGCCACGGCUAACUACGUGCCAGCAGCCGCGGUAAUACGUAGGUGGCAAGCGUUGUUCGGAUUCACUGGGCAUAAAGGGUCCGCAGGGGGUUUGUCGUGUCUGAUGUGAAAUCCCAAGGCUCAACCUUGGAACUGCAUUGGAAACUGGCGAACUGGAGUGUCGCAGAGGAAAGUGGAAUUCCCGGUGUAGCGGUGGAAUGCGUAGAUAUCGGGAGGAACACCUAAGGCGAAGGCAGCUUUCUGGGCGACUACUGACCCUCAGGGACGAAGGUAUGGGAGCAACGGGAUUAGAUACCCG
RNAcentral lists this ribosomal RNA (664 nucleotides) under uncultured bacterium. Its description in RNAcentral is "bacterial SSU rRNA". It matches the Rfam family "Bacterial small subunit ribosomal RNA", at positions 106 to 789 of the family's 1533-position model. The record is from RNAcentral.